Long non-coding RNA from Brassica oleracea var. oleracea, 1208 nucleotides. RefSeq lists it as uncharacterized. The record is from RefSeq and is a predicted model, not a curated record. The transcript has 3 exons. Lineage: Eukaryota; Viridiplantae; Streptophyta; Magnoliopsida; Brassicales; Brassicaceae.
UAUCAUUUAUCAUUUAUCAUCCCACACCUUUUUCUUUUGUGCAACUCUUCCCACACCUUUUCUCUUUCUUUUUUUUCUGUCUUUUACUUUUAUCUGGGGCCACAUACUAUUCAGAACAGAUUGGGUCGGUAUCCAAAAGAACAAAAGUCAUAUACAGAUUUGACGUGGCCAAUGGAAACUCUACAAGCAGGCCCACAUUUUUAUUAAACACAAAAUCCAAAGACUCUCUGACACAAUCUCUAUCUGUAAUUAUCUCAUUUAUCUACAUUUAUUACAACAAUAUAGAAGCGGAAAAAACAAGAAUCAUUUACAUCUGGAGGCGGAGGCGGAGGCAGAGGCAGUUUACAAGUUUUUAUAACAUUCUAGAGCCGUUUAUGCUACUUAGAUAGUUUUUAGGUGAAAAGAUUCAAUUUACCCUGUAAAAAACGUAAUCAAUUGAUUGUGUUUUAGUUAGGUGGGUUUUAUUUGGUUCUUCUUUUACAAUUUGAAAAUCAGCGGUGAACCCAAAGAGAGAUUUAAAUAAGAUCUAAUUAGCUGGACGUGUAAAAAUUAUAUUUUUAUUACUUUUUCGUAACUUUUACAGAGGAAAGAAAUAGAAACUCAAAGGUCGACGAAGAAGACGAGAUACGUUGGUGAAUUCCGACGAAAGAAAUUGUGAGAUAGUUGUUCCGAGAAGGAUGUCGAGGAGACGGAGCCGGCGUGAGAAAGAAAAGGCCGACAAGUAGAAACGGGGGGAAAUGAACGAACGGAGGCAAACUCUAUUCUUAAAGGAGUAUGUUUCUUAGGACGUUACAAUAGGAGCAGAGAACGAACGAUGAUUUUACUGAAAGAACGGUGAGAAAAUCUAUUCCAGAACAGAUGUCGAUGAGACAAAGGCGUCGUGAGAAGGAGAAAGCUGAUGAUAAGAUAUAAGAACAUUGAGAGAAUAAAGGUUAUUGAUAGAGGCGAGAAGGAUCUAAUAUUUGAUAGAUAAAGAGGAAUGUUGGCAAACAAGCUCUAAUUUUCUAAUACAUGAAGGGGAAUGUGGGCAAACAAGCUCUAAAAUUUGAUUGAUGAAACAAAAAGGGAUAAAAAAAAGUAGUUUGGCGUUGUCCAUAUGUACACUCUAUGGUAUGUCCCCAUGUACAAUCAUUAAGCCAUAGUCCAUAUGUACAAUGUUAAAACAAUGUCCAUAUGUACCAAUUUGUCCCCAUGUACACUUAUUAAGA